CAGUAUUGGUAUUGCAAUUAUUAUGUGGAAUUUCAUAUCGGUAUAUCAUAUAUAUACUGCUAUAGCAUGCAAGUUCAAUCAGUUGAACUGUGAAUUGGAUACUAAUAAUGGGUUUGGUUUUAUAUUUCAAAGCACAUUCUGUGUGGCAAUAUCAUGCAAGAAUUUGAGUUUAAGGACCUACCUCUGAGCAGUAAGCUAAUGUUUUUUUUUGUCAAUUGAAUUCUUCACAUACAUUCUUGUAAGAUUUCAUAUCGUAGAGCCAUCAAGUUAGCUAGCUCACUCUUUAUUUUAGCUUCAUCCAACAUGGAAUAAACAAGAGAGACUUGGUCCAAAAUGACAAUACCUGUCGUCAACACAGCACUUGCAGCUAUUCGAUUGAAACAAAUCUGGCAAUAAUAAAAACAUGUUCUUUUUGCACAAAAUAUUUAAAAAAAAGUGUGGCAAACUACAACUCUGCUGUUGCUGGCUACAUCUAUUUUGGUGUCAAGACACAGUAAAGGGGUUCCUUUCUACACCCACUGAAAAUAAUUUCAACUUGGAACUUGAAGAGCACACGUACAGUACCCCCCCUUCCCGUCACAAAAACACCAUUUCACACCUGCACAAGGGCAACUCAUCAUCAUCAUCAUCAUCAAUGCCACAAGCUCAUCCAAUAAAGCAACCCACAGUUACACCAAACCGUAUGUACGUGCCUUUAGUAUGUCAUUACACUGCUAUUUCACUUUUCAGAAUGAACCCUUUUACCCCUCCGGCGAUGAGAGUGGUUAGAAUGGGCGCCUCCUCCUCCUCUACUUGCUCUCUUUGUCUUCUUGCUGCAAAGUCCAUUGAAAUUGAAGCAUUUUCAGCGCCUUUUCCAUAUAGAGCACCAAUUCAUAUGAUUCAUAUACUAACCUGAAAGCAGCUGAACAAACUCUAGACAGGAUGAUUAUUGGCAGGGCCAGUAGAGCUGAUGCCUACAACAAUACCAAAACCCGUUAAAAAUAGUACACCGCAAACUUACCCCAAAAAAUCAAGGAUAUCAUUGAUGAUUGUGAAUCAUGAUGAGUACAUACCAAAAACCAGACCAAUUCUUUAGUUGCAAACUGUUUUGUCAAUUCAUGCUUCUUCAGGGUCUCUUGAACAGUUCCUUGCACCUAAGAAGAAAUUUGAGCCACUUAUCACUCACGCUAAGAUACAUUUUGAUAACCGAAUAACGAAAUUAUUCUCAAAUUCCCCAUAAACAGAUAGGAAACGCAAAUAUUAUGUUAAACAGAGCUAUAAACUACAAUUACACUUACCUGAUGAUGAUAUGUAGUGGCCGACUCUAGGAACUUCCCAUAAGCACGAACAGCUUGCUUAGUAUAUGGUCUAACAACCACCUUAAUUUUGUCAACAUGGGGUUUGGUGACUGAGGCAACUUGCUCAAUGUAUGGCUUACUGAACUUCUUAGCUUCCUGUGACAGCGGCAACCAUUUAAGAGUAUAAUUCAGAACAAGCAUACAGCAAAAACUGAUUUCUCAUCAGAUUUACCUGAAAGUAGGGGUCCACUAUCUCUUGUAUUUUAAUAACAUGAGCAGUUAUUGCAGUCUUUGAAGUCUCAUACACUUCCACAGUUUUGGCACUUGCUGACCGCACAUGUGGUUCAACCUGAGUUCUUACCUCCACCCACUGAUCCUUCACAGUUGGGACCCAUUUCUGAAUUCAACAGAUAGAAUAUAGUCCAAUUAAUGGAGUAACUAAUCUCGCACAUGAUCAGCAAUAAAUUACUUUUAAUCACGAAACAGUCGUCACAAACAUAGGGUUAAUGGGGUAGAUUAAAACACCCCACUCAGUAUUUCUGCUGGGUUUGACCUUAAGAAUAAGAUCAUAUAUCUAUAAAUUUAAAGUAACAAACCCAACAAAAGACCUAAAGAGCAAGAGUUCCCAUUCUAAUACAACAUAUCUAUGAAAAAGCUAAAAACAUACAUCUGUCUUCCAAAAGAGAGUCCUGCGACUUGAGCAAUGGUUCAAACCAUUUCUCACUAGGACAAAAGUAGUUUCUUUAGGUCGCACAUGUACUGUUCAUGUUUUCAUCGUUCAAUAAUAUACCAUUAUGAGAAUCAGUAGGGAGUUUAAGAAAAAGCUUACAGUUUUAACUGUUUCCAGGUGUGGUUCAGCCCACUUUGCAGCCUUUUCCUUGUGUUCCUGGGCCUAAAGCAGCAGAUUAAAUUGUCAACUUGAUGGCGAAAUAUAUGAAUAAAAUGUUUUACUUAUGAGGAGAAACGAAAAAGCUACAAAGGAAGAACCAAAUAUGGCUUCCAGAAACGAAAAUGGUCAUCACCUUUUGAAUCACUAAUUCCACGGUAGGCUUUCCAUGGGCAUUCCAAUGCUCCUGUGCCAAAGACUGAACCAGGUAAAAGUAAGGUAUAUUUCCAAGAUGGAGACCGAUAUGAUGAAGCCUACCAUGAUCUACUAGAACUCUUGAAACAAUUGUUUUUUCCACAAGAACCAAAAUGUUUUUUAUUAAUCUUCAACAAAAGGCAUAAUCAUUUUUUUCCCAAGUUCAGCACACAAUAUAGUACCUGAAAGCCAACAAACUGUACAGCAAGCCAUGGAGGAAGCCAAGCACCAUGAGCCUGAAACAUGAGGUAUGCUAACAUUAGUAAUCAGCAGCAUAUAGAGCACUAUUCCACACAGCACAUGCACUAAGAUAGAAAGUACAGAUGAGUCAGACAGUGACUUCUCCAAAUACAGUUACAAAAAUUAUGCCCCAUAACAGAUCAUAUAAAAAUUAGGCACUUAAAUGAAAAUCCAAAAGGCAACGACAGAAGAUAAAUAGAGACAACAAAGCAACACAAGAACAUGUGAUGGUCAUUAUUAAGACCAUAAACAUCACGCAACUUUGCUAAUGCCAGAAGGUCUUCAACAGUAUUUGAAGAAACUCUAAUGUUAGUUACCUCCAUUAACUCUUUUGUUCUUGAGCUGGCCUCCAACUUUGCCUUCAUCAUUUCCUCCUGUGGGGAAAACGUAAGUAGUAACGAAGAGUUACUUGAAAGCCCAAAAGACAACAUAAUAAGUUGCUAUAUUAGUUGUCUGGGAAGUAUACCUCAGCAACUUUAAGUGCACGUUCAGUUUUACGUAUUUUGCUCUUCUGCUCAUCGCUGAUGUUUUGCAGCUGAAUGUGAAAUCAAUUGAAAAGUUAUUCUCAAUUACAAUAACCCCCAGAAGUAGACCAAAUCUGUAUGAAAGUGAUGUUAGCGAUAUGGAUCAACCCAUUCCAAUUUGAAAGCAAGUUAUGCCAUUCAUCAAUUAUUUUGGAGGGAAGAAUCAAAUGCCGCAAUACUGAACCGCAGGAAUGGAGAGCAGAAGAUCAUAGUGUGAUCAGUAAAGAAACUUACAUCCUUAAGUUUUGAGUUCAAUUCAUCAAGUUUUGUUUCAGCUUUACUUGCUCUAUUCUCGAGGGCCUCCUUUUCAGUAUUUUGUGCUUCAAAUUCUUCUUUGAGUCUAUCAAGCUGACAAACAAAGAAAAACAUUAGAAAGUGAACAGAGUAGUUCACCGAAAUGUCAUACUUCAUUCUCCAAAUUUAUCAAGACCUGCUUCUCUAAGUCCACAACUUGUGCAUUGGCCUUGUUCAGCUGCUCAGCAGAGUCCAACUUCCCUUUUUUCUGUAAAGCAAAGACGAGCAAGCUUAAGACACAUUGACAGGGACGUCUUCGUAUAAAGAAUUGAACAUGAAUAGAUGAACGCAACCAUUGUAGGGUCAGAGAUAAUCUUCCACUGAAACGGUACUAGUGAAGAACACGCAUUGUUGGAUUCUUCUACUACCGAAUUACAGGAUAACACAAAAAGAUAGGAUAAACGGAGAAAACGUAAUAAGCAUGCAGAAAAGUCAUAUGUGAAGUACAUAGCAGAAAUCUGUUGUUCUGUUCCAUGCCACAAACCUGAAGGGAGGAUAUUUCACUCUGCAAUGAUGUAAUGCUAUCAGCCUUCUCUUUUAUGAGUUUCUCCUUCUUAGCUAAUUUCUCCUCUUUCUCCUUCAGUUCCUUUGCUUUCCUUUCAAACUGGGACUCUUUUAAAUCAUCCAACAAAUGGAAGCAAACAGCGAACAACAAAGUCAGAAGCUUUCUUCCCCAAUCGCAGAAUACGUACGAAUAUAGAAAGAAAACAAUCUACACCGUCAAAAAGACAAUAAGCAAAUUGAAAGCAGUAGACUUUCAGCAUCAAUAAUUCUAAAUAAGCCUGUCGGUUGAAAACUAAAUCAGAAAAAAUGUCUAACAACCUCGCAGUUUGUCUGAAAAACCCUAACGUUAGAAAAAGACACUCAAUCCAGAUCUUGCAAAUUGAAGACAAGUCGACAUCAAUCGAUUUCAGUGGAUAUAGCAAGCAAAGCAGACUAACCAAGUUCCUGGAUCUUGGACUUGGCUUGGUCAAGUUCGAACUUCAGAGCAGAAGAGUGGAGGUCUGAAGAUUCAGUAACUUGAAUCGCCGGCUUACCAACAUCGCCGUCGACAUCGGCCCAAACAGCAGACAGGAGUAGGGCGAGGAAGAACGAGAACGCUAGGAACUUAGCGGCCGCCAUAUAUGACCGCCAGUGAAAAUCGGAAACCGCGGCAAGAGAAGAAGAAGAAGUGGAUAUAUGAUGAAGAAGAAGGAGAAGAAGAAAGAACCAGUUCUUCUACUCACAAGGCGGGUUGGUGAGUUGAUUAUAGAAAUGAAGGGUUAAUAAUAUGGAUCCAUCAUCUACCAACCAACCAAACAAUGUGUUAAAUGCCUGGAUGGAUCGAUAGAAUCGAAGAGGAAAUUGAAUAAAAUAACCAGAGAAAAGAAGGGAAAGCACUGAAGAGAUGUAAAUGGGGAAAGAUUCAGACACGUAAGCGAAAAGCUAGACAAGAUUAAUAAUAAGUUACUAUGAAGAUUCAGAUUUGAUUGAAGUUGCUGUAAUUACUAUUUACUGGUCGCCGACGCCGACGCCGACGAGCCACAGCCACAGGUUCAAAUGGUCAAUGAGGGGCAAGACAUUCAAGGCCGGUGGAGUGGUUGGGCGAGUGACUCUUUUCGUGCAGUUCGUACUUCAACGGUCAGACAUUUCUCUACAACUAACCAACAAAAUCAAAGGCCACGAGAGAAGGAAAACCCAGAAAUGGAUUUUUAAACCACAAUAUUCGUAGCUCUCUUUUUCUUCAAAAAAUAUAAUUAAUCGAAUUGUUUGGUACUAAAUAAAUUAGGAUUUCAUUUCAUUCAAAAUAAAAUUAUGUUGAAUGAAUUUAUAUAUUUGAAAUGUCACAUUCUAAUUUUAAAAAUUAUUAAAUCAUGUUUAAUACACGAUUAAAAAUAGAAUUACAUUAAAAAUUUUACAUAUAUCCUGAUUAGUUUAUUAUAAUUUAAUAGAUUUUAUUGUAAUGGGGAUAUAUAUGUUAUUUUAUUGUCAUUAGUAGAAUUUUUAUGGAAAUCAUUUCGAAAUUGAAAUUGUUAUAACUAACUUCAAUCCCAUAAAAUUCAAAUUUUAGAAUUUAAAAUUUAGAAUUCAAAAUGAAUUUUUUGUAUACCAAACAUAACAAAAUUUAUUUCAAAAUGAAGUUUAUAAGUUGUUGAAAAAUUCAUUAUAUCAAUUGGAAAAUAUACGAAGCGAGUGACGUGCUUUUAAAUGUUUUACUCCGAUUUGGUGUGAAUUAGUAACAUUUGGGAGAUCGAGCAAUAAGGGAAUUUCAGUGGUGUGUUGGAUAUGGAAAGAACCACCAUUUUUUGGAAAGAUAGAUGGUUGUGAAAAUGUUAUGGAUCCGACAAUCUUUUUUUCGGAUUAAUUUGACAGCCAAUUUAUAAAUUAAAAUCAUAUUCGUCAAUUUCCAUUUGAUAGUUAGAAUUUUACUAAGGGUAAAACGGGAAUUUAAAAAAUACUCUUUCUCUUUCAACUUUUCUUUCUUUCUUCACUAUAACAUUUUUUGGAUCGAAGAUCGAACCGGUGAGGCUACUAUUUUAGGUUUUGAUGGUUCGACCGGGGUUCGACCAUUUGCUAAACCAGGUCAGAGGCAGAGGCAGAAAUUUGGUCAUGGGGUGUCUUUCGUUGUAUAAAAAAAUCAAGUAUAUAACAGAAAAGUGAACUAUUAACGAAUUAUAAAAUUGACAUCAUGAUACUAAAGAUUAGUACAAUAUAAUUACAAAAUAGUAGUUCAAAGCACAUCACUUAUAACAAAUCACGAUGCAAUUUUACAUUCUGAAAAUAUUGUAAAACACAUUCAAUUCCUUGUCCCCAAAUAUAAUUUUCUUCAUCCUUAAAUAAUAUCUCUUCAACUAAUUUUAUAUUCAAAUCCACUUUAAAAUAUAACACGGCAAAGACAAAUCAAACAACUAGUUAAUAGAAAGACCAUUCCCUUAAAACCAUAUAUUGUUGCUGACUAUUGUUGUUUAGAUUUAAAAGAUAAACAUACACAUUCAAAUACAAUUAUAUAUCAAUAUCUAAAAGUGAUUGUAAAUGUGUGGAUUCCUGAAGAGAAGGUAAGUGGUUUAAAUAUUAGUGACCCCUGUACGUAAUAAAUAAUUUUGUUUCAUCUGCCAGGGGUUACAUGCAGCCCCUAACGUCCACGUAGUUCAAUAUCAUGAUCUAAUAUAUUAAAAAUAUAAUUAUUAAAAUAUUUUUAAGAAGUUUCAAACUAUAAUUUGAAGUUUUUUAUUAUUGAGAUUUAAUAUGUACUUUAUUUAAUUUAUAGUAAGAUGUCACUUUUUUAAUGUUAAUUAGUUGUUAUAAUAUUUAUUAUUAUCAACUAAAUGCUUAACUUAAUCAAAUAAUGAUAUUCGUAGAGAUGGUUGUCAUUCACCUUUUGUUCUUUAGAGAUCAGGGUAAGAAUUUGGUUCAACCGGAAUUUCGAUCUGGGUUGAACCAGCCAAAAAACAGGGUCCAACCGUCGUCAACGCCCGAGUUUGACCAACUGCCUAAACCGUCCAAUCGAUAUCGGCUACCUCACCGGUUCAGGGUCGAACCCCGUCUCCAUCCCGGUUCGAAUAUCAAUAUUGAUACUCAUCUCUAAAUCUGUGGGUUUCGAAUACCCGUGGUAUCCUCAUCCUCACACAACCUAAUUUAAAAUUUCAGAAGUAAAACUACCAAAGUACGUUCAUUGUUUUGAUUACAAUACUAAUAAGACAUAAUGUCAUUUGAGUUCUGAUAAUGAAACAUAAUAAAAUAACCUUACAAAACACGUUCAUUGUUGCGAUUACAAUACUAAUACAUAAUACGAUUUCUUUGAAUUCUUGAAGUAACUUCAAGCCGUUGAACUUGUUAAAAUCUGAAUUGAUAAUUCACAAUCACUCCAAAUCAUCUUCAGACAUAGAGUCCGAACAAUUCAAACUUUGAUGUGGGCUAUGGACUAUUGGUUGGGCUGUAGACUAUUGGUUCUGUUUUUUUAGAGAUAGUAAUAGGUAAGGAUUCAAAUAUAAAUUUACAUAUUGGAUAGGGUUGGGUAUGGGGCGGGGUACCUAAACUCAUCCUUGAUCCGUCUCCGUUUAUUUUUUACGGGUAUUCUCUGUACUCACCCCAUAAUUCAUUUAAUACGAGUAUUCCCCACUUCCACCGAAUUGGAUAGGGUCGAAUACCCGUGGAUAUGAAUAUUAUUGCCACCCCUAUUCUGUGGUUUUUUUUUUGCGUCAUAUAUCUAAUAGGUGAUAGGUCUUAGUCAUUUUGGAUAAAGUUACAUAGCUAUUAUGAUAACUUUAAAAUUAACUACAUCUGCAUCGUAGCUUUUGUAUGGGUAUUGAGUACCGAUGGCAGCCUUUUACAAUUGAUUUUUCACGUCAAAAACAUCAUAAGAACAUAAUAAUUAGAACUGUCACAGCCAAAAUUGUUGAUAAUUGUGUAACUGUCUGUCACAGCCAAAUUAAAUCCUUGUCACACUGAAUCUACAUCAACUUCAACAGCCAGACGUUUCAACCAAAUCAACAGCAGGACGAGUUGUUCAUGGGGAUUGCAACAGAGAGAGAAGAAUCCAUUACGGUGGUUAAAGACUGCAGUCCAAAUGCGUGACUGCAAUUGCUACAACCUAGGAUGAAGAGUGCUCUAGCUCAUGCUCCUAGUGCAUCUUCUCAAAAAUCUUACAGUAACCGUGGGUCUCAUUUCAUUCUAUUCUUCCAUUGGUUCCAUUUCUUUAGCUGCGUUGAUAAUGUCAUUUGAAGGUCGUUGCUUCUUUCCUUUCGCCUUCUUUGCCUCCAAGGAACUGCAUAAUAUGUAUCUUGAUUAACAACAAAUACACCUUAGGAAUUAGAGAAUCACGCAAAUUUCUAGCACUAGGCCUAUCAAUAAAAUAUUACUUUCUCACACCUUAUGUUUUUAGUCAUGAGCAGAUCCCUCGACGCCACCCUUCCUGUGAGACUCUUGUAGUACUGAAUAAACGCAAGGUUGCCACCUGAUUUCUCCAGCUGCACCAUUAUCAACAUGACGAGCUAGGGUUAGAUUUCGCAGUGUCGUUCUAUGGUUAAGCGAAGACUCAAGAUAUAUAUAAACUACCUGAAGAAAUGACGCAGCUGCCUCCUCGUCUUUUGGUGAGAAAGCAACUUCGUCCCUCUUCUUGCGCACAAAAUCCACAUUCUGCUCCACCUGAAACGUUGGACAAUUAUAGCUCAACAACGACAUAGACUCAGAUAACGAUGUUCUGAGAGUAAAUUACCUGAUCUACAAAACGUUUCACCAUUCGGCGAAAACUCUCUAUGCUCGUCCUUUCAUGGAAUUUCUUCAAAUGGAUCAGAGGGAUAGUAGCCAACUCAGGGAAAGAUAUGUGGCACCCCCAUUGAGCAAAGUGCACAGCAAGCAAUUCAAGGGUAGAAAAAAUACACGCUUCCUGGAAGUUUCGAGAUUUCAUCCAGUGUUUUGGUAACUGCAUCGUAGUUUUAAUAAACAGGCAAAGUUAUACAACAGAGCUAAGCAACACAGGAAAUAUCUACUUAACGAAUAGUACUAAAUCAGAGAAAGCGGGUUAGGAUAUAGACAUACCAAUGGAACAAUAUAGAGACCCAAGAUGAAUUUUUUUGAUUUGUUUCAUAGCAAUAGAAACAUAAACGCAGACUAACUAACCUUAACUUCAGAUGACAAGUCGAAACUCUUUCCAGGGUUCUGAUGCUCUUUGUCAAUAUUGUAUUCCAAAAUAUCAAGUGCCAGCGAUGCAAUAGGGAUGAAUGUACCGCAGGAACUGGAGAGAUGAUUCAACCACUGAACACUUUUAACUCUCAAAGGUAAGUAUCUUGGCCCUGGAAAGAGGACUGCUACUCCAUUUAUUAUCUGAAUCAUUGUAUAAAGCAAUGGCUGGAGCUUAUAAUCGUGUGUAUUGACACAUAUAAAAUCAACCCAUAGAUCAACGCAAUUAACAUACUGCCAGCUGCAAAUCUGCUUUACCACAUCCUGUAUAAAAGCAACCAAUGAGAAGGGGAUAAGUCGAAGCAUUUCCCUGCAUAUUGCAUUUCCCGAUAAAAAAAUUCAGCACAGCACGGACAAAGAAGGAGAAAUAAGUCAUCACAAAGGGCAUGCACCUUCUGCCUAGUUCGUAAACCCAGCUGUAAACUCUUAGCAAGUUCUCUGAUUGAAAGAAUUGCCAUCUGCAUUGAUUUCUGCAUAUCUUGAGAACAUAGCUCGAUGAAGGACUUCUUAAGAAACUGAAGGUGUUCAAAAAUGGCAGGAUCUACGAAUUUGCAAUGGCCAAUAAUGGUCUUGUAUGCCUUGACGAAGCAUGUCUCAAACAAAUCCGAGUUGAACACAACAGCCACAUCUUGUAUGGCAAGGAAUGAUUGCACUGACAGAUCCCCUUUACCAGUUGCCCAAAGAUGAACUGAGAUCUGCGUUGAAAUCAAUAUCUUGAUAAGGCAAACGCUCCAACGAGCAUGAAAUAAGAUGCAUCCUAUAACUAAAGAACGAGUUCUACAUGAAUUUUGCGGAAAAUCAUCCAUCCAGCUGUUACAUCUGGCCUUUUUAAGGAGUUGAACAUACCUUAAUCAGCCUCUGCAGUAAUGAUGGAAACGCAGCAAAGAAGGCUACAAACGUCCUUAGCCGUUUCAUAAUAAAAGCUAAUAGCUCAGAGUCAGUAACUUCGUUGAGAAGAAAGAUUGUACUUCUCAAGUACAACUUAAUGAGAGGCCUCAGGGUUUUCCAUUUUGAUGUAUUUUUCAAUUCCAAAAUGACCUCCUUCUUUUGAGUGGAACUUGAAACUCCCAAAAUUUUCCGGAACACCUCAUUUGCUUCCUGAAGCACAAAUAUCAUAACAUUGCCAAGACCUUCUGUGCCUUCCAGAACACCAAAAGAUUUAGACCCAUAAUGGCUCCCCGCUCUAUAUGCAUUCAAAAUCCGUAUAAGGGAAGGCAUGUCAUGUUGCUCCUUAACAAGUUGACACAAGGAAUCAACAUCAGAACUGCUCAAGAACUUGCCAACUCCUAAUAGUGAGCCAUCUUCAUCUGUUGACUGCCUGUUAUCAUCAUCACUUUCAUCUUCACCUGAAUACUGCUGUAUUAACAAAGUGAUAAAGUUCAUACAAUAAGAAAGCAGGUACAUGCAAGAGAAGCAAUCACAUGAACAAAACGUCUUCAAGAAAUGCAUACUAAUAACGCUGUCAAGAUGCCUGAAUACACAAGAUCCGCGACAAAAUAGAGGACACAAAAUAUUCACGCCAACUGCAAUAAUCCAUGCCCCAGAUAUGUCUCUUACAUUUUCUUCUUCUGCGAUUGGAACAGUACGGCUUUCAAAACGCCCCAAGAACUUGACAAAUCCCGGAUUCUGAAACCAUGAAAAGGAAUAAUUAGCCAAAGGAAGGAAAAAAAAAUGAUACAUGGGAAUAAUAUAUACAUAUCUCCAUUCAUAUGUCGAUAUAUACAGAGAGAGGUAGAAAGAUAAAUGAGUUGUGUGGUUUGUUCACAAAGGAAACACACACAAAAUUGCAACAACUAGCAAUGGGGGAAAUCUGAUCAUACUAUUACCUUUUCUUUCAAUUUUUCCAAUUUUUUCUUCUGCUUUGCAAGCUCCAUGAAUACAAUUCUGUUCUGUCCAGAUACACCAGUAUCAUUGCUACUGUCUGCAGCAGAACAAUUGCUAAAUACUAAGACACAGUAAUGGAAUACUCUAACAACACAAACUAAAUCAAGUAUAAAUAAAAUGCUGGUAAACCCAUAACGUCUUCACCUUUUCGGUUAAUAUCCCUUUUGCCUUCAUCUAUGUCAAUACAGCCUGCAUCCUAAUCCAUUAAUCAAAUUAUAUAAAUAAGAACACUAGCAUAUGAACAAUCAAUUUUUAGAUAACUAUUAUGCGACAGAACAUUUCCAACCUCUGAUAAAUAUCCAUCACUUCCAGAAUCAUCUCCCCCCAUAUCACUUUCAUUCUCAUUGAAUAUCGCAUCAAAUGAUAUAGCUCCCACAUCCUCUACUUGAGUGUCUCUGCGAACAACAUAUAAAUCCAUUAACACAUGCUAUGCAACAAGAGAAAAAAUAGUGAACAUAAUACUUUACUGAAAGAACUUGACUAUAGCAUUUAAACUUGACGUCCUUUGCCAACCAAAUAAAAUACAUCAACAUUCUGCUCUACUACUUCGAUAUUUUUACCUUCCACUAGUCUGUGGUGGCAUUAUGUCCUCUUUUUGAUUGCCACCUCCACGCCCCCCUUCUAUAAAACAAGAAUGCUUACGAGUUUCAGGCUUGAGGGUAAUGCACCAAUGAAACGAUAACAGAUAAAACUUCACGAAAGCAGUACUGCAAUAUUUUGCAACGCAAUUCACUGAGCAGUGUUUUCAUCGUAGUUUCUUUCCCUUUCAGUUUUACCUCAUACUUAAGAAUAUGGAUCGCUCACGCACUUUUUCAUGGCAGAGUUCAGACAAAAAAUGAUUCAAAGCAUUCUAUAUAAUAUUCUUGGACAAUUCAAUCUUAAAUGAUCCUUUCAACUUCCAGGAAUCUCUGUGAUUAGGCAGCGCCUAAACUGAGAUAAUCACUGACUACUUCCAAAAAUGAGCAAUUCUGGAACCCGUGGAUCACGAGGAAAACUACAAAAUCAACUUAACUAAACCCCAGCCUACUUAUAAAUGUCAGGCAACUAUUCUGUGAAAUUAAUCCAACAAUGCAAUACGAAAGCUCAACCGAGCGCUUACUUUUCAUAGCUCUUUUCUUAUAUACGGAAUUUAUCUUCCUCUUCCUUUUCAUCACUGACUGAAGAUUCUUCUUGGCGAACUUCCUGGCAUUCUUUCCUAGCUUUCCCAUGGUUUACACAUUCACGGAAGAAGCAAAAACAACUGACAACAGCAGCAAGUCUCCCCUGAGAGAGGCGAGAGAGUUUGAGAGUGAGUUAUUAGGGUAGUCGCUUGGUUUACAGAGAGGAAAAGAGAGGCCAAAAAUUGAAAGAAAAAAGGUUAAAUACCUCUGAUUAGGGUUAGGUUACUUGACGACAUUACCCUUGCUCGCUCCUUUAUUUUCCGUUAAAAGUAGCUUCUGGCUUUUUGGUCAUUUCAACCACCCCCUCUACAUGGCUGAGUUUUCUGGUCAUUGCUGGGUGGAUCGGUUGGUUCGGUUUCACCCAAACUGACUGCUAAUUUUGGGCUCUUUAUUUUUAUUUUUAGAACUAGGAUUUUUGAAGGGGAAACUAAGAUAUGGCAGGACUCUCUAAUUGAACUCUCCGUAAUAUUUUUGUUCAGAUCCAGUGAAAUGUUAUAUAACUAGUUAUACAACUUAUGCAUUGUAACAACAUUAUAUUUUAAAAGUUACUAAUUAUAAUAAUAAUUUUUUUGACAAAAAUCAUAUCAUUUAUUUUUCUAAAUUAAUGAAUAGUAAUGUGAGGCGUAUCCAAUUUGAGGUGUAGCCGUCACCAACGAGGUUAACAUGGAUCGCGCAAUAGCAAACACCUCAAUCUUUUCUGUCCAAUAAAAAGACAAUCCAAUAAUAAUUCACCCUAAAAAUCGAAAGUAAAGACCGUAACAAUCAUCAACAACACCAACACAAACCAAAAAAAAAGAAAAAGAAAAAGUUGAAGUUAGAAAUAGAACUAAAAAACUAAAGAAAUCUAAUAAACUUGGAUGUGAUUAGCAAUAUCCCUAUUUGAAAUGUUAAAGGAGACUAGGAUCUUAAUCGCUACAACUCUCAGGUUCAGUGAACCGGACAGAUCGCCCUUGGCUGACCGGCUGAUGACGCAUGGAUAAUAUCCUUGGAAGAGGGUAGGGAUGCAUCAACGGUGGUGGUAAGUGGCAUAACAGCAACAACGAUGGCGACGUUGGCGGUGCUGGAGAUGUUGGCGGUGAUGGCGAUGUUGGCGGUGCUGGAGACGUUGGUGACGAUGGCGACAUUGACGACUAUGGAUUGUGGUGUGGGGUGGGGAUGGUUGCAGCCAUGAUAUUGGUAGUGAAGUUGGUGGUGAUGAAGGUAGUGUUGUCGGUGUUGGAAGCAAAAGGCUAUGGGACGGCCAAGGUGGUUGUGGUGAAUACGGGGCGAUGAUUAGUGUUUCAGGAAGGAGGAAGGGUUCUUUCUUAAGAGAGGCAAUAAGGCAACUUCUCUCCUAUAAAAAGCAACUUUUAACCAAAAUUUAAGAUGAAAUCGAAAAAACGAAGAAAGUCGAAGAAAUUAAAAACGACUGCAGCGACUAAAGUUUGACUCUCAUUGAGAGCUUUUCUUUUUACCAAAAGCAGAAAUCAAAUCUGCUAUACCAUGUGUUGUUAGUGUUAUAUUUGAAAAUAGCCAUAAUAACUAGUUACAACAACUAGGCUGAAUAUAUAACUAGCUUGUGUAAUUAAUUAUUUCAUAUUUUUUCGAACCCUCAUAUAGCCCUCUCAGCUUUUUUUUUUAGACCUCAAACAUGGAAAUGUUUGAUUUAAAUUCUAGCAUGUAAAUUCUAGCCGUAUGAAGAAGUGUCUCUUAUAGCGAAUUAGUGUGUGCUUCGGAUACGUGGACAACUGGACUGUCGCAAGCUGUGGCCGAGUUAUGGAACUAUAUAUUAUUGCUGAGUUAAAUGUUAUCUUUAUAUAUCGAGAAGGUAAUUACAAGAUUGAUUAUAUAGUGAGUUAGUGCUCGCGCAACUUAUAUGCUCAUAUGUCGCAUAACUAUGUACUGAAAUUAUGCCAUCAUAUGAAGAUUAGACGCGCUUGAUUCGGGGUUGAAGAAAUUUGUAAACGUAUAUCAAGUUUUUAAAAUAUGAUACAUAGCUCUAACGACGUUACGUUGAUCAUCCACCCAUUUUAAUGAGACAACUUUAAUAGUAAGCACUAGUAGUUCUAAUUAGGACGUCGGCAGCGUUCCAAAUCCCCGUCUUAUUUGGGAAACAAGACUGUGAUGCGAGUGGGAUACGACUGUAAAGCAAUGCAAUCUAUAGACAGGACAGAAGUCCAAUUACAAAAGCGUAAAGCUACUUUCUUUAUAAUUUUAGUUGUUUAGUAUGAAAUCAACCAAAAAAGAGUGUACAGUUUGUUUUCACCUUUUGUCCCGUACAAUAUAAUGGAGUGUAUCAGAACUCAGUCAUUUCGGAUCGCCGACCUAUAUUAAUAAUUCCACUUGAUCAAAAAUUAAUCGCACUCUUAACGAAUUAAGAAAUUUUAAUUCAUAAAUAAAGUAACAAAUUGUUAAAGAGUCCGACACACAUGUGUAGAUUUGAAUAAUAGAUAGCCAUACCAUAGAUAUUGAUAUGGGAAAAUUAUAUAUAUAUACUUUUUGGUACAUCCGGUGCAUUGGGUGCACCUAUUUUUUUGUCUAAUCUAAGCCGCCCGAAUUUUAAUUUUUUUAAUAUUUAAAAAUAAUAAAAUAAUUUGGCUGUCGCGUGCUUCUUUCUUUCUUUUUUCAGCUCUCUUGCCAAUCUAAGCUCACUUAAGGGUGAUCACGGAAUUAACAGUUGAAGAGAAGCUAGAUGUGAUGAGAUUGAAGUUGACUGGACUCCUUCGCGGAAGAUAUUCUCCGAGAAUCCCCAUUCCAGAUUUUAUUUCGAUCUCUGAAUUCGGAUAUACGGCCUCCUUGGUGCUGAAAAAGUACCUAUCUUGCUCCAAAUCACCUGGUAAAUUUCAAGAAUUGGACUUGAAGACAUCGACUUCGAGAAUGAUGGAAGCGGGGAAAAGAAAGGAAUAUACUUUCCGUUUGAGGUAUUGAACCACGAGCUUUUCGCCUGUUGGGUGGAAUCUGAAGCCAGGUGACAGUCUCUACAUUUUAUUUUUGACAAAGCUCAUCUUCUCCAUUUAAACGAACACAAAAUAAGGAAGAAAAAAGAGAGGCAAAAAAGAGAAGAGGUUUGAGAUAGGGAGAGGUGAAACGUCAUCAUUGAUGGUUGAGAUGUCAAGUUCCUCUGUUUAUUUUCAUUUGAUAAUCUUUUUUACUGUUUGUAUUACUUAGUUAUGAGGGAAUUACUUAGUUUGAAGAACAUUAAUAAUUAUUUCAAAGAUGGUUUUAUAAAUUUAACAUUGACACUUUUGAAAGUUCAGUUAAAUUUAUAAACAAGAUUUUGAAUUUUGAAAAACUAGCUUAAUCUUCAUUUGGUUGAAACAACUAACGAAAUUUAAUGGUUGAUAGUGUUGUAAGUUUACGACUACUGCUAAUUUUUACUGUUUGUGUAAUUUAUAUUUGAGAGUUCGAAAGUUUCAAUCUCUGAACUGUGCUGUAUGCAAGUACACUGAACUUCGUUUGAGAGAAUAGACCGAGUAAAAAGAAUUUAAACAAAAUAUUGAAUCAAAAAAUUACAUCGAUGAUGGUGUUAGUUUGUUGAUAUACAAAAAUAAACAUAAAUUUUAGAUGAUGUUUUGGGUAUUAAGAAGAUGUUAAGAUGAUUUAAAUCAAAUUCGCCAAGGCAAUUCCUUAUUUGACAACAAUAAAAAGAUCUAUCAAUUGUUGUAUUUUAAGUAAAGUGAUUUUUUUUGUAAAUUAUUCUUUUUAUUUUUGAAAAUUAAAAAAUAUAAAAAUCGGCAACCCAAAUUAAGCCUCAAAACGCGAUACAUUCGAUACAUCAUGUACCGAAAAGUUUUUCAUAUAUAUAUAAGAAAAAAAGAAAACAAAGGGAAUCAAUGAUCACUGAAAGAAUUUUGCCGUCAGGGCGCUUUCUUCUUCCUUUGAAGACCUCGGCACCCAUCGGGUCUCACCCUCCUCCAAUGCCCCGUCCACGUGGGAAGCCCCAGUGGCUCUUCGCCUCAAAAUUAAUAUGGACCGUGCGGUCUUUCUGGGAUCGGGCGGGUCAACAUGUUGAGUUCUCCGGGUCUUUAACAGUGCUGGCGUGUUGUUCUCCAUGCGGUUGGCACUACGUACCAAAGUUUUACUGAGCCAUUUUUUAUGAAGUUUUUAGCAGUCCGCGAUGUCCGUUUAUAAUGUACCCAAGUAGGAUUUUUUUUUCCAGGUGAAUAUAGGAGGCGACGCAGAAGUAGUGAUGACUUACGUCAAUGCCAACCACUACAGUUUAUCAAACGACGGCUCUAUCAUCCACGAGAUUCAGUACCUCCUUGCAUCUAUGUUGGAGAUUGUUCUUGAGAUUGUUCGGAGGUCAGAUAACAAAGCCAACCUAUUACGUGACACGCAAAAUUCUUAAAUAUCACACUGAAGUAUAAGACAAACGAUAACAAAUAUCCAAAGGAAAAAAGAAAUAGGAAUACAAUAACAAACAAACCUGGUAGCAGAUAUCAAGAUAUAAGACAAACGCGGUGGAUGGAAUUCACCGAGCUUGUUCCACGUAAAUAUAAUAUUAUUACUGUACGUACGGACGGGCGGACGUGUAUUGAUGAGGAGCAGAGCUAGGUAGCAUUGAAGUUGCCAAAUGGGAGAACAUAGAGAGGUCUGAAAUGAGAACAAGUGAGCGCAAUGUAGCCAAGAACAACUUGCCGACGAUGGAGCUGACAACCGGAGCUAGCCGUCCGGCAAGUCAUCCUUGGCUGAACCACGCUCUCUCCGUCUUCAUCUCAGGCCUAUGUUCUACUUCGCAAAAUCAUAUAUCCAGACAUCGAUCUGUGAAUAAUUGGUGUACAAGUAGGCUAGCUAUAGCUACUUUAUAGAAAGGGGAAAAGGGGCAGAUGGUGCCAAGUAGGACACAGUGGCCAAAUAGGCAGCCCAAGGGUCGGUUCACUUUUAAGGAAAAUGAGGUGGUGGUGGUGGUGGUGGUGGUGGUGGGGGUUGGGGGGGUCGGAUCUAAGAUUUCAAAAGCACCGCGCACUAGCAAGCCAACUGUAGUACAAGAUACAGUACAUACAUAUAUAUAUAAUAUAAAUGAUGGCAUGGUUAGCUAUGGACAAAUUGCCAAUUGCCAAAUGAAUUCAAAAAAUACAACACAGCUAGCAAAGCAGAUAGGACUCACCUCCACCGUCACGCAGCUUUACUUGAUUGUUUACUUUUCCUCACGUACUGGGUUUGCAGCAAUCUCCGUACGUAGUGAUGAUAUUUAUCGUCAAAUUAAAUAUCACCACUCCGACGCGGCGCCGCCUGUUUUUAGACGACAUUAGAUAUAUUCCUUGUUCCCCCCACCCCCCACGCACUUAGUGUUACCCUGCCUUUGGAGGCAUCACGUGUUUCUCUUUUUAACCAUACAAUUAUUUUCCCACAUCUGGUCUCUUGGGUUUAUAUAUAUUGGAAAUACCAGAAAAACGUAAAAUAAUAUAACUUGUUUUAACCGCUUCACUUGUUUGCAUGCGGCAUCUACUAAGAUGGUUUGAAUCAACCCAAGGUACGAUGAUUUUGAAUUAGUGACUUGUUAUAGCAGGUGUAGUAGGUUAUAUUAUGUAAGAAAUUAAUGUCGUUACGUAAGAUUUACGUAAUGGCCUUUCCUCUUACGUAACAGGCUUAAUUUUUCCUGUUACGUAAACUUUACGUAACAGCCUUUACUCCUACUCAAUAAGCAAAAUGAAGCCUACUACGUAAGGAACAACUGCUGUUACGUAAGCCUUACGUAACGGCCUUUACUCUUAGUUAACAUACAAAAUUAAACAUGUUACAUAAGGAUAACUGUCGUUAUGUAAGUCUUACAUAACGACCUUUAGCCUUAAGUAACGAGUUUUUGGGAUGAAUUUUAUAUAAAAGUAAAAUGAUUAAAUAUUAUUUAAUUUCCUAUGAUAAAUACUAUUUUAUUUUUAAAAAUUGAACAUAAAAAAGUAGGUUUGGUAAUGGGUCGGACACGGGCCGGAUAUCUCCUAUUUGUUGCUCGUAAAUUUUGCCCACGGGUUUUACCCAUCACCGACCCAUUAAACUUAAUGAAAAAAAAUUUGAAAUCAAGCCCAUAUUAUUGUGGAUUCAGGUUUUGCCCGAAAACUAAUAAAAACUAAAAAAAAAUAGAAUCUGAAACAUCAAAGUCAGAAACUCAAACAUGAUAAAACCAUAAGCCGACAACCCAAAACUUGGGAAGAUCUUUCCAAAUAGAAUAACAAGAAUUAAAAUCCAGAAACCUGAAUAUAUCAUCCAUAUCCCAUAAACAUGUGUGUCUCUCAGCAACCAAUAAAAAACACAACAAUGCAGAAAUAACAAAUGAAGAUCCAGAAAAGACAAUAUGUGGUAGUUCAACAUUGAAAUAUCCAACAAAGUACUAAUGAAAAUCAGAAAUUUGAGCCAUUCUGCAUGAGAAAUCAUCCAACAGUAGCAUUCAUCAUUCAUCAAACUCAACCAAAAGAUAAUAUCUGCAAAAUAAUCAUUAUUGCAUUACGUAUUAGUCCAACAUAGAUCUAUAAAUGAAACAACGUAACCAUCGACUAUUCUGAGUUAGAAUACAAACCUUGAACUAAUCAUCAAGGUUUGUAACAGCUACAACGUCAUCUAUAUCUCCUCGCACUUGCUGGUUUGUACCUUCUACAUCUGCUAUAUCAAUGUUUCUAUUAGUGUCAAAAGUGUAUAAAAAUCAAUACAAAUUGUAAAAAAACAACCAAAGUAAUGAAGAAGCUUACCAGAUUCGUCUUCCAUAGUCGAAUCCUUCAUUGUCAUUGUUGAGAACACGUCUUCGAACUGUUUCAUUUAUGCUUCAGCUAGAACUACAAGGAAGAAUGGAAAUCAGAACAGAAAUUAAAAACAACUUCCAAUAACAGAGUUAUUACGUAAUUAACAAAAAAUUUACCUGCAUGCAUAUAGCUUUGUAUCCAGCUCCUGCAACACAUCAUUGCCUCGAACGUUGAAGGUUGUAGCCUACUCCGAUGGGGAUCAAGAAGCCUCCCAAUGGAACCAAAGUCAGAUUUCGAUGCAACAGACGCCACUGGUAUGGUUAGUAAAUCCCUUGCAAUGCAUUGCAAAAUGGGAUACUUCGCACCACCAUUUUUCCACCACCCAAGCAAAUCAAAUUUAGGUGUCAUAGGAUGUAAUUCCUUAGCUAGAUAGUGAUCCGAUUCAUUGGUUAAUAAAGAAGGUCGGGAUUUCUUUCUUUGGCUUACAAACCGAUCAAAAUCCAUAUCGAUUGCAGAAGAUUAACUGAAUUGCUUGAAGAACCAAUAUUUUUAGCUGAUUUUCGUUGGUACGCAAGCACCAAAUCAGAAACAACAAAUUUCACCAUUUCACCUACCAGAUCAGUAUUAGAACUCCCAAAUUUCACAACAUAAAAUUCACACACCAACAUAAAUAUCAUAUCCAAGAUAGUAGCAAUAGCCAAUAGUAAGUGAAUGUCAUCCCAAUACUUAGCAAACUUAUUUAAUAUUUUCUCAGCCAUCAAAACAAUUAUCGGAUCAGAAUCAAUCAACCAUUCUAUCAUGCUCAAUCUCAAUUUACAGACUUCAGAGAAAAACUAAUUAACAAUAGGGUAUUUAAAAUCAGACAGAACCUUUGUAAUCUCUUUGAAAACAAAAAGUGUAUGAGUUUGUUAUAGGGUAUAGUUUGUUGUUCUGAUAAAGAAGAAGCAAAUUUGAGAGAGAGACAUAUGAGUUUUGAUGGCUUGUGGUUUUGAUGCAAGUAUCGGUUGAUGGUGAACUGCUAUGCCUAUACCAUUUCCUAGCUAGUUUCCUUAUUGUUUGGACAUGUUGGUUUUGGAUUUUUUAACAAGUGUGGUUACCAUCUGUGCUCUGAACAGAAUGCCUGAUAUGACAGCAUAACAUUCUUAAAGCUGUGGAUUACUAGUCUACUUUCUGCAGUGAGUGACUUAUAUUUUUCAGUUCAUACGUGCUUAGGAGACAAUGAGUUGGAUAAUUUACUAUCAAUUGCGAGUACCAAAUAGCAGAUGUUUGAUUCGAUUGUUAUUCGAAACAUGUUCGUUUUUGAUAUUAUAUUUUCCUUUUCAUGUAAACUCUUUAAAGAGUGACGAAUUGGACACAACAUUGGUCUAUUAUUUGGAUUUGUUUCUAUAUAAGCUGCUGUGAUUAGAAGUGAGCAGUUAAGUUAUAAAUUUGGUUAUGUAUUAGUCAUUGAUGUGAUCAAGUCUUGCUUUGUACUGGAUAGGAAUUAUUACCUUGCUUUGUACUGGAUAAUAAUAUAUCACUUGCAAUUAUUUUCUUAGUACUAAAUAUAUGAGGCGAUUAAUUAUCGAUAAUUUGGAGAAUCUGCCCGGAUUGACUUAUCACCGGGUAAUUAGGAGUUGUGAUAUCUCCUCUGCUAUUGUGCAUCAAUGUGAAAUUUUCAGAUUUGCACCAAAUGAAUCAAUGUCAAUUUUCAGAUUUGACUUCAGCUUAUUCAUUUUCAAGUUAUUGAAGCUGGUACAUUCUUCUCUCAUGACAAAAAUGCUAGAGAUAUGCAAGUUUUUUAUAGACUGAAGGGUAACGAUGAACGCCUCUAAUUCAUUUUCAAAUUGUUGGACGCAAUCAGUAGAAAUGAGUAGUCAAUACUUGAAGCAGUGAGUUCGUAGACAGGGUAACAUGACUACGAAGCUGGUAUUUUGAAGGACGAACUGCAUUAUUGUCUGAAUAUUAUCAACUAGGUUUAAAUUUCUGUUUUCGUAUGGAUAUUGUCUUGGGUUAAACAUGACAUGUCCAAGAAUGAUUGCAACAUCGGCAAAUUUAUUUGUCUUCAAAAAUGAUUGCAGCGGCGGCAAAUUACAUUCUGAACAAAGAAUGGGCAUGAGGGCAAUUUAGUCUUUUUAAAAAUAAAUUUAUUUAACAUUUAUUCUCUGAAAAAUAAAACCAUCCUAUUUUUUUAAAAAUCAAACAAAAAAUUUGUGAAAUCACUAAAAAUUUGAAAUUCUAAAUUCAAACAAGAUGUAAAUAGAUUCCUGAGUCAUGACUUCCCUACUGGGUCUGGAAUCUGGAUCUGAGAUUAGUCAAACUUUCAACUCAAUGACCGAGAUUAAUAUCUAUAAUUCUCUAAUUUCAAAAUUGUCAAUAUUAUAAAUAUCGAUACACAAUUAAUCAAAUUGUUUAUAAAUUCAAAUAUUCCGCGUUACCAUUUUUUAUAUAAUUAUAUAAGGAAAGAAUCGGCGAAAAGUAUUAUUUUUUUAUUUGCCACAUCAGACUUCUAGUUCGAAAGGUCAGCCACAUAGCCAGGUGGUUGUUAUAUCAUCUCCACCGGCAUAGUCCUCUCCCGCAGCUGAAUUCAUACCUCACAGUCAGCGUUACGUCGUACCAUCUUUCCCUCGACGGAAUUCCCAAAGUCCGUGAUCGAUGGAUACCAGUUAAGGAUUUCAUCGCACAAAUUUGAGACUUCAACUCACCGUCAGGGAACUGUGAGAUUAGUAGGAAAUCUGGUUUUGGAUUCCAAGAGUUGUUGGUGACUGCUUGAUCGACGUCACCCGGAGAUUCGUUCGAAGCGCGUCUUGGUUGCACGAACACACCCAGAGAUUCUCCAGGUGAGCGAGCAGCUUUGAUCGAAAUCCAGAAAUUUCCUGAUUUCAUGAAUUCUUUACAAGGAAGACAAAUUCAGGUGCAAUUUUUUUGCCGGGAAUUUAGGGACGAUUCGUUAGGUUGUUAUUUUGCGAUCGCAGCGGAGAAAUGAGCUUCUUUUUUGCUUUAAACUUCGGGCUCGUAAAAAAAUGUAUCGUCUGACGCGAUGUUCCUUUGCUGUUUUCUGUGUCGGUUCACCGAGGUUUCCUUCCCCUUUCCUUUUUGUGCUUCUUUGACAUUUCUUAUGUAUUUUUGGUCCAAGCCAACUGCUCUUCACACCUCACUGUUAUGCUCGUCCAACAUAUUCUAGCCUUUGAUUUCUGACAUUUAGAUUACAUAUUCGUCUUCGGGAUAGAAUCGUCAAAGUUGGACUGGAUCAGUUAGUGGACUGAAAUUUCUCACUUUUCCUGCCUUCCUGGUUACCCUUGUGGUGGAGUCUUAAAGUAAGCAAAUGUAAUAUUUGGAAUGACGUGAGGUUGAGUGAACAUUAGUGGUUCUAGGUUCGUGACUGACUGUAAAUGGGUUCAAAUUUGUGGCUCGUUGGAGCUAUGAUGAUACAACAACUUCCAAGGGCAGUAUUUGUGAAAAUUCUGAUCUUUCUGUUUUGUUUGUUAUAUGUUCUCAGCAAACUCUCCAGUUUCCAAUUGUUGUUGGUUGAAAAUGGUGACCCGAAGGAGAUGGGGUAAUCUUUACAGAAGGCGUAUGAGAGUGUUUUCACUUGCUGUAGUGAUUUACCUUGAUUAUAAGGUAUUCUUGAAUUCUGUUGCUGCAUCAAUCUGAUAUUGGUAACGAGUUUCUUAAGAGUACUGGCACCCGAGUAUUGCAGGCUUUACAGCAAAGAGAGAAAUGGAUUAGCCCUUCUAAAAGAGCUACUCUGUGGGAGAAGGCUCAUGAGCGAAAUGCUAGGCGUGUUCUUAAUGUGAUGAUUGAAUUGGAAGGUUUGUGGGUGAAACUUGGGCAGUAUUUGUCCACUCGUGCUGAUGUGCUUCCUCGUGCUUACAUAUCGCUACUCAGGCAGUUACAAGAUGCUCUUCCUCCUCGUCCUUUGCAAGAGGUUUAGUUUCUUCCCUAACUUGUGAAAAUGCUUGCUCUCCCCUAUCUAUACUACCUUAAGAAUAUACAAUAGCAAUAAACAACUUAAAGUCUAUAUCUUGCAUCUGAUACAAGCAUAAUAAACUGAAGAAUCAUUGACUGAUAAAGCAAUGUGAUUUCAUGAUGAUGUCGAUUGAGCUGCUUUGACUUGAUGAAGAAUGGUGGUGGCUUAUGUGUUACCAAGACUUUUGUAAUGUCUUCAUCAUCAUUGCCGUGCGCUAUUUUUUCUGGGAAUGAGUCCAUAUCAUUGCAAGGCAGUGUCUUGGAUGGAUAUUUUUAUCCUGGUGAUGUAACGAGUCAUUGAUCACAUCUUUGUUGGUCAUCAUUGGAGUGCCUGCAAACUUCAAUACCUAAAUAUUCUGUUUUGGUCUUUAUCCGCACAUGUGAACUGAUGUUCUUGAUGGAGUUGGUGAUCUUUAUGCAUUGCUAAUAGUUCCCUAACCGAGUACUUCCAACUGUGCAGAUUCGUGCAACAAUAAAAAAGGAGUUGGGGUACACCGUCGAUGAUCUCUUCUCUUAUUUUGAUGACGUUCCUCUAGCAACUGCAUCGGUGAGAUAUCUGGACUACUUUAUGGCACUGAUGAUUAGUUUACUGUUUCUAUAUAUGUGAGUAGCAAAUGCUGUUUGAACUACCUUAUUCAUUAAGAUAAAACAUAGCAACUGAUAUUUAUCCUAACACAGAUUGCACAAGUCCACCGUGCAACUUUACUUGAUGGGCGAGAAGUUGUUGUAAAAGUUCAGCAUGAGGGCAUCAAGACAAUCAUACUAGAGGUUGGGCUCUUUCGCUUCGCUGCAUAACUUGAUGCAUAAUGAGGUAGAUGGAUCAAUGAUUACCUUAAAUGUAUUUGGCAGGAUUUAAAAAAUGCCAAGGCAAUUAUUGACUGGAUAGCAUGGGCAGAGCCACAAUACAAUUUCAACCCCAUGAUUGAUGAAUGGUGCAAAGAAGCUCCAAAAGAACUUGACUUUAAUCGUGAAGCUGGUGUGUUUUCGCUAUUUGUUGUGUUUUAUUGUUGACACAUAUUUGAUUCAUCAACAUCCUUAUAUAUAAGUUUGACAUAUGUUUUGGUUUUUAGAGAACACUAGAACUGUCGCUAAAAAUCUGGGAUGCAAGAACAAGGAUGGGAACAACACAGAUGGGAAUAAAGUUGAUGUUUUGAUCCCAGAAGUGAUCCAGGUAAUAUCUUUGUUGUUAUCUGAUGGAUGGACCUAGUUGCAUGUUGUAGUCAUUUCUUGAGGUUAAACGUGAGGUUUUCGAAUAUCGAGUUAACUUGUCUUUUACUUUGCGGAGUUUGUGUUGGUAGAUGCCAAUGGUUAGAACUGAGCUAUCCGUAAUUAUUUCUCCCGUGCUAUAUUACAUGGUGAAUUUGGUUAUCUCUUUGCUUAAGUUGAUGACUAUUUACUUCUUUCUGUAAAACAAUUAAUUGUACGGAUCUUGAUGUUAAACCUAGCUUUCUAGGAUUAUAAUGUAGUGAUGGAAAUGGGGAGGCUUGGGAUAUGUAUAGUGUAACUGUACCAUUACCAGGCGGGUAUAAACUUAUACUUAAACCAAAUACCCGAGGUACACACGUGUGGGUGUAUACUUGCAGGUAAUACCUAACGCCUAAAAUCUUCUGCUAAAACUAAAAAAUUCGCAUCUGGAUACAAAACUACCAUAACCAUACACUUAAGAAUACAACACUUUUAUAAUCAUCCAUAAAAUAUCACCAUAGUUAUCCAUCAAACUUCAUUUAUAACAUCACUUCUAUUCUUAACAUCCAUAGCAUGGAUCAUCAAGCACCUUAAUUAUCUUUCAAACAUCAUUCAUCAUCAGUUGCGAUAAGGUUAAACAUCAUAAAACAUCGUUUUAGUGUGGGGACAGGGUGGAAAAUGGUCAUGCUCAUUCCGCACACAACACUGUUUUUCCGCUAAUUGAGUGGGUGUGGCCUGUUGGGCACGUGUGGUUUGAAGUUAGAGUGUUAUGCUUAACCCUGGUGACUCUUGGCUCUUCGUUCUGUUAUUAAGCGGUCCUUGGUUCCUAGAUUGUCUGUUGUAUUUAGUUCUCUUUUUCAUUUUUCUUGCUCAUCGGCAGGCUGCUGAAAAGGUCCUAAUCCUAGAGUACAUGGAUGGGAUUCGUUUAAAUGACCGUGAAGCCUUGGAAGCUGCUGGUGUUGACAAACAAAGGAUUGUUGAAGAAAUUACACGUGCCUAUGCUCAUCAAAUAUAUGUCGAUGGAUUGUUCAAUGGUGAUCCCCAUCCCGGUACUCUCCUCUCUCUCUCUCAUGCGCAGAGGUGUUGUCAGUUGGGUUGUUGGUAAACAUAAAUUACAAGCUUUCUAAUAUUGGAUUAUUUUACUCGUCUAUGAUCAGGAAAUUUCCUGGUAAGCAAGGAAGCUCCUCAUCGUCCAAUUUUGCUCGACUUUGGGCUUACAAAGGAAUUAUCAGCUUCCCUGAAACAAGCACUGGCUAAGAUGUUUCUUGCAUCAGUUGAGGUGUUAUUGAAUUCCCUCAAUCUUGGUCUCUUCCCCUCACCUUCACACUUCUCUGGAGUGUUUCUUUCAAUUUAUUAUUACUUCGCUGUAAUCGCUAUUCAAUUUCCCGUGUUGCAGGGUGACCAUGUUGCUCUUUUGUCUGCUUUCUCGGAAAUGGGUCUUAAGCUUCGGUUGGACAUGCCAGAGCAAGCAAUGGAGGUGACUAAUGUAUUCUUCCGUACCGCAACUCCAGCUACGGAUCCUGUUGUAAGCAUCCUGUUCCCUGUUUCAUUUCUAGUUUGAAAAUUGUCUGUGCUUGUUUGUGACGUUUCUUUUGUUUAGGAAAACAUGAAAACUUUGUCUGAGCAAAGAUCAAAAAACAUGAAGGUGAUCCAAGAAAGGAUGAAGCUCAACCAAAAGGAUGUUAAAAGAUUUAAUCCAGUAAGUUCAUUAACAUCUAAUCCUACCGGAUAGUUGACUCAUUGUUCCAUCAGUUAACAGUUGUAAUUUCAGAUUGAUGCAUUUCCUGGCGACAUUGUCAUAUUCGGCCGGGUGCUUAAUCUUCUAAGAGGUGUGAUAGAAAUUCUACCAGUCUUUACCUUCUGAUUCGGAACUGUAGCUUCUGCUAGUAAUUGUGUGUUUUCAAGCAGGACUUUCUUCCACAUUGAAUGUUCGUAUUGUAUAUCAGGAGAUCAUGAGACCAUUUGCUGAAUCUGUGCUCCAGGGGUCAGUUUGUCACAGCGCAACUUCCUUUUCUUUUCUGAAAUUAUUCUUUCCAAUUUUUUUGAAUUGUUAUCUCAAUUAUUAGAUAUAUACACAAGGCACCAGCAUCGAAUAUCCAGUGGAUAUAUGACACACCUGUCCAUUCUAAUGUGGAAGCCAAGUUGAGGCGGCUCUUAGUUGAGCUUGGAAACCAAGAGAAGAUACUCGGAGUCCAGGUCUGUACAAAUAUGAAGCUCCUCCAUAACUUCCACUAGCUAUGCGUUGUUAGUUAACCUAUCUGCAUAUUUCACCGGAAUGGUUUACAGUAUGUUGACUGUUUUAAGAGAGUUAUUUCCUUUAUGGGAUAUAUGGCUUUUGUUGAUAAGUAUUUCUGUGUCUCAAGGUUUGUGCUUAUAAAGAAGGGAAGGUUAUUAUUGACACUGCUGCUGGAGUUCUCGGGAGAUAUGAUCCUCGCCCAGUUCAACUAGAUAGCCUCUUCCCAGUUUUCUCCGCAACAAAGGGUGUCACAGCUGGUUUAUUGCAUUGGCUCGUAGACAAUGAGUAUGUGUUCUGAUCAGUGGAAAUCAAUCAGCAUUACCAGUUGAAUGUCCGUGAUUCUUAUGAAGUAUUAUUUACUGUAGGAAACUCAAGCUUGAUGACAAUGUUGUCAACAUCUGGCCAGAAUUCGGAACUAAUGGAAAAGAUCUUAUCAAGGUGAAAAAACUUCAAGAACCUGUUUGCUUUUGUGGUUUUUUUAUUUGGAGUUCUUUGCAACAUUUCACUCAUCUUCGGUGAUUUCCUUUAGGUCAAUCACGUUCUUAACCAUACAUCCGGCUUGCAUAAUGCCCUGGCCAAUCUCAGUGGAGGAAAUCCUUUAUUAAUGUGCGACUGGAAAGAAUGUCUUAAUCAAAUUGCUCUGGCUGAACCAGAGACAGAACCUGGUCGGGAACAGUUGUAUCAUUAUCUAUCAUAUGGCUGGCUGUGCGGUGGGAUUAUCGAGGUACUGUCUGAUAUGAUCUGAACAAAACCAAAUAUGUCAACAUCGAAUGAGAUUCCCUAUAUGCGGAGUUUAUAAAUGGCCUCCAUACUAAAUGAUGCUGUUAUCUGUCUUGCAAUUUCUAGAGGCAAUUGAUUAUUUGUGACUGCAUUGCUUGGUCCUUUACAUCUUUGCUUUAUGUUGGUUGAUGUGCUCUGAGCGAACAAUUUGAUGUGUUUGUGGGCUUUUCCAGUUUCAUUUACAUUCUUUUUUGCCUACUGUUACAGUCUAAUUUAUUUGUGUGAUAUGCGAAUAAGUAGAGAUAAAUUUGUUUUAUAUUAUAUUUGUAUAGAUGCAAAACAUGUGUCUUCUGUGCUACUGAAUUUGCUGCAAGAUUCAAUAUACCUGCUAGUGCUGCUUGGUUACCAACUUUAACAGUGUUGUUAAUGGAACAGAAUUCAUCCCAGAAGAAUUUCCAGGAGAUCCUGGAAGAAGCAAUUGUUAAACCCCUCAAUAUUGACGGCGAGUUAUAUGUUGGAAUACCUCCUGGUAGGUUGUUUGAUCUUGUUGCUUUGGAUGCCUGUUGUUGAGACCAGAAUGUUAGCCAUUUAUUUUAACUAAGUUGCACAUUCAAAGAUGGUAAAGAACUUAAUUGAUUUCUUAAUUUUGACAGGUGUGGAAUCCAGACUUGCUAGCCUCACACUAGACACAAAUGACCUAAGCAAACUGGGACAGACUACCAACCGCCCCGAUCUUCCCUCCACAUUCCAACCAGAUAGGGUUGGUACUCUAUUGACUACACUUCCUGCACUGUUCAACAUGCUGAUUACUCGGCGUGCAAUCAUCCCUGCCGCUAAUGGGCAUUGCUCAGCUCGUGCUCUUGCACGAUACUAUGCAACCCUUGUUGACGGCGGGGUCAUACCACCUCCGCAUUCUUCCUCUUCCAAGCCACCUCUCGGUAGCCACCCGCACACCCCCAAACUUGCGACGCUGAACCACCCUAAGCAGAAAGCAAAGAAACGCAGGGAAGUGGUUGCUCCUUCAAACAAGAAACAGGAUGAUGAUGAUGACGACGACAAUUGCAGCGAUGAUGAAAACAAAGAAGGCGACAGCAGCAGAAACACUAACGGCCAUACUUACUCAAAGCUGGCUAAUGAUGAGAGUACAUCUCGCACCGAGUUGCGUGAAAGUGGGAGGACUCGAGUGUAUACUAACCCUAGGAUUCAUGAAGCAUUCAUGGGCACCGGGGAGGAGUACGGUGGAUUGGCCUUGCCCAAUGGAGUAUUUGGGUUAGGUUUUAGGAGGUUGAGAUCCAAUGGGAGCAUUGUUGGGUUUGGACACAGUGGGAUGGGUGGGUCAACUGGCUUUUGCUUCCCUAAGGAAAGGUUUGCAAUAGCGGUGACAGUGAAUAAGAUGUCGUUAGGGUAUGGGACUAGGAGAAUCAUGCAGUUGGUGUGUUCAGAAUUGAAUAUGCCAUUGCCAGAAGAGUUCUCGCUGCCGAUUGGUGGUGGUGGUGAGAUUGAGUCCGGCAAAGGGGCGCCUCUAAUUAACUGAGCACUCUAUGUAUACAUUACUAAUAACAUGAUACUACAUGUUUUAGACUUUUUAGAACGAUGAACCACUUGUGUCUCAUAAGUGCACAUUGCAUGAGAACUAUACAGAUGAUGACUUUUGAGCAUCUUACACGAAUAAAUUCAAUAGCAUUUUGCUGUGUUGAAAUAAGUUUACUUCCCUGCCUCAUAAGUGUACAUGGCAUGAGCCCCUCUUGCACCGUACGAAUCCUCACUUCGUAGUGCUCCACGAAGCCCACAGGUCUUCGUAGGAAGCAGCAAGUAGACUGAGCACAACAGUAAAAAUUCUUUGGGGUUCGCAACUUUGGAGGCAUGAGGCAUCGCAUACUGGCAUUCGGCUCGUGACAGAGUAUUAUUACGCAACAAGUGCGGUUACCCUGGCAGAUAGCAAACUUCAAGAUGCAGAGUUAGAGCGCAAAGCUUACCUCCUCAUUAAUCUUCAAAAGGCCGGCUAAUGAUAUUCAGGGUAGUGUUCAAUGGAACUGUGAAACUUUCAGUGGAAGACUUUGGACUGGAAGUGGAACUCACCAAGUAAGGAAAGGAAGUAGUCGAAGCCUCGAAAUAGGAUUAUAGAAGGACUAUGAAGGUGGGCAAAUAGAUAAACAGUGGGCUUGUUUGUGGGGAGUGAGAUGUACUGCUUAGCAAUGCUUUAUCAUAUCUGGCUAGCAGUUCAUAGGAAAAUGAUUACUAAUGUGCAGGUUUCUCAUUGGGGGGGUUGACAGUAGAUGUCUCUUGCUUGCUAUGUGUGUGAUGAUAAACGGUAUGAAUUCCCUGCAGCUAGCAUGUACUGUUUGCUUGUUCUUUUGGUGCAAGCUAUCAGACUGGCGUGUUUGAUAAUGGUAUGAAUUUUACGGCUUGCUAUUGACUUUGUUGUCGAGAACCAUUAAUUCCAAUAAUUUGAGUUGGACGAAAGGAUUUUAGAAGAGCUAGUGUUUGCACAGUGUUGGUAAAUCAUGUGCACUAAUUGGGGUCUACCAAGAUUGAAUACGGAGAUCUGUCAGUUAUUAAAGGCUUUGAUACCAUGUUAUAAACCAUUGGAUCCCAAUAACUCGAGUUGUUGAGAGAUAAUUCAAUUUAGUUUUUAUAUUAUUCAUUAACACACCCGGAAGCUCUAAACUUCAUGUCACUUGCAGAUAACACAAGGGCCGUAUCCGAAAAUUUGGGAUGCAAGGAGAAAUAUGAUAAUAAAAAAGAUGAACAUUACGUGGAUGUCCUUAUCCCAGAAGUGAUUCAGGUACUGCUGUGUUCAUCUCCCUGAAAUUCUCACAUGCAUGGCCUUACAAGGAUUCCCUUUAAUUACUUACUUCAUUCACCUUAAUUAGCUCUGUUUUUUCUUUUCUCUCAUUGACAGUCAACUGAAAAGGUUUUAAUCUUAGAGUAUAUGGAUGGAAUUCGUUUGAACGACAAUGUAGCAUUGGAAGCCGCUGGUGUUAAAAAGCAAAAGAUUGUUGAGGUAAUCACUCGUGCUUACGAUCAUCAAAUAUAUCUGGACGGAACGUUUAACGGCAAUCUACAUCCCGAUACACAAUUUGUUAAAUGUCGCAUGUUAAGUUAGCCCCAUGAGUCACAACUAUAUUGACCUUAUAAAUCCUAAUAAAUUGAUGUCAUAGGGAAUUUCCUUGUGAGUAAGGAUUCUCCUCAUCGUCCAAUCCUACUUGACUUUGGACUCACAAAGAAAAUACCAGCCUCCUUGAAACAAGCACUUGUAGAAGUUUUUAGUUAAUUGUCGAUAGGGUUUCGAGCAAACCCCUAAUAGAAAAGUUUGGAAACGAUAGAAAUCCUCUCAAGAUAGAGAUCAAACUCCAAUUCCAAUGUGAGUAAUAUGAGUCGUUAGAAAAAGCACAAGAGCCUGUGAAGAUUCAAGGUAAAGAUGAAAGAAAAAAACUAAAGAAACAAGAGAGAUCUCAACAAAAUAAUUGCCUUACAGUCGAGAACGCUCUCCUCUAAGAAGAAACCAUAAACCUUCUACGAGAAUCAACGUACGACCAUCGUCAAAAAACCCUAACUCUCAAGUUGAGAGGAAAAACCCUAAUAGCCAACUUCCGCCGAUAUUUGAAGUGAUAACAUUGAAUAGUCUUUUAAAUCAAUAGUUAACUUCAUACCAUAAAUUUCAAUUUUAAAAGGAAAAAUUUACAGACUACAUCUUUUUCAUUGUUAUAGAGAAAAGAUAGUAAAACAAAUAACUAUUGUAAAGAUAAAAAAGCAUCAUCAGAGAUGUCACUUUUUCCAACAAUGCAGCAAUUUAUGCCAGGUAUGGCAACCCAAUUGAAAGCAACAUAUUAUCCAUCUAUCAGCAUCACCUUUAUGGCAAAGUAAACUAAACGGCUGACUUGGUUCUCUGAACUAAGAACACAAGUUUCUGACAACCCCAUGUUCAUGCUUUCAUUUCAUGUCAUUGACCCCCAUAAAGCUCAAUGUAGCUACCCUUCAUUUUACAACAACACUAAUUUAAGCCCCAACUACAUAAACAAAUAACAAACAAAGAAUAAUAUAUAUAUGGUUUAUAUGCAUUUCUGUGGCUAUAUAAGCCCUCCAUUUCCCUUCUAAUUCAUACUGCACAACUUAUAAAUUCAUCAUCACGAAGUACUAUUUCAUAAGACAUAUAUUACAAUCAGAGUUAUGAAGGUAACUGCAGCGACUAUUCUGAUGGUGGCAGCUGCUCUACAGCUAGCCGUCGUCGUUUCAGCUGCCGAUCAUUAUUACCCGAAAGCCGAAACUGUGUGGUGCAACAACACUCUUAGCCGUUGCUCCGGCGCUUACGUCCCCUGCCCUGCCGAAUGCCCCUCAACUACCUACCCUAAUGCCAAAUCUAAAGUUUGUCACGUCAAUUGUGAUCAUCCCCUUUGCAAGGCCCAAUGCAAGAGUUAGUACAUUAUAUAUAUCAUUCAUUACUAUACUAUUUUAGACGCCAAUCCUAAUAAUUCGAUAUUUGUUGUUGUUUUAGAGCGAAAGCCCAACUGCGACGCACCGGGGUCAGCAUGCUAUGACCCGCGUUUUGUUGGAGGAGAUGGCGUAGUGUUCUACUUCCACGGCAAGACCAACGAGGUCUUCAGCUUGGUCUCCGACCCGAACUUCCAAAUCAACGGACGUUUCAUCGGCCACAAGCCUUUGGGGAGAAGCCGUGACUUUACGUGGAUUCAAUCCUUGGGGAUUGUCUUCAACUCCCACAAAUUCACCCUCGAGGCCACCAAGUCCGCAACAUGGGACAGCAACGUGGAACAUCUCAAGUUCGCUUACAACGGUCAGGACCUCUCGAUCGCGCAGGGCUCUCUGUCCUCAUGGUACUCUGGUGAGAGCAGAGACAUUAAAGUCGAGAGGGUUUCGAACAAGAACAGCGUUAUGGUCACGCUGAAGGACAAGGCUGAGAUCCUUGUGAAUGUGGUGCCAGUCACCAAGGAAGAUGACAGAGUGCACAAAUAUCAAGUCCCUCAGGAUGACUGUUUCGUCCAUUUGGAAGUUCAGUUCAGGUUCUUUGACCUGUCCCCUAAAGUUGAUGGAGUUCUGGGUAGGACUUACCAGCCUGAUUUCGAGAACUCUGCUGCUAAACCUGGUGUGGCUAUGCCGGUUGUGGGUGGAGAAGACAAGUACAGAACAACUGACCUUCUUUCUACAGAAUGCGGAUCUUGCAUCUUUUCAGCAUCAGAAACCACUGAGGUGAAGAAUGUGAUGGACUUUCCUACACUGGACUGCACCAGGGGAUCUGCUGCUGGUUUUGGCAUUGUUUGCAGAAAGUGAGAAACAAUACUGCUGCUACUACUAAUUUACUGUCACAUUACAUGCAAGCUCACUGGAUUCAUCAUCAUCACCAUCACCAUCACCAAUAAUCAUUUGAUCUUUACAAUAAUAAACAUUGUCCCUGCCCCACUAGGGGUGAUCUUCCAUAUAUUACUGUCCUUCAUUUCUGAUGGAAUACAUUUAUGUAAACACAUCAUAUUUUAAUGUUCUAUUUCUACAUGCUCCCACCCUCCAUGCUCGGUAUCAAUGUAGCUCUUCCAACUUUGUUUAUCUCAGCGAAAUUAAAUAAAUUUGAGGAGCUCGCUCGGUACACCUGGAUGCACCUGUACACCCCCAAUGUGGAUGUUUAUGUGUACAACUGUGAGGCGUGACUAAAUAUCCACAUAAUAUUACUUAAUAAUUAUAUUUUAAAUACUAUUAUAUUGUUUAUAUAUCUUUUAGUCCCUUAAUAUAAAAUUGGACUAAUCUGAAACUGACUAAAACAUCAUCAAAAUUUUUAAAAAUACACUUUUUACAACCUCGACUUUCCCCUCUGUAUUUGUGCUCUCUCUUCUUCAUUCCUUUGCCGUCGACGACGAUUUUUCGGGCUGUUGACGUCAAAAAAGGAAGACCAAAAACACUUUGUUUCCUCAUUUCGCAAAAAGUAUGCUCUUCCCCGACUCCCGAUGUUGAUUUCAUCUGGGCAGAGAUGCGAACCUGAAUUUUGUUCCUCUAUAUUGGGAGCAUUCCUCUCUCCGCCAUCGCGAUCUCUCCACGUUCCUUUCAAACAAUAGAAGCAACAACAGAGAGCACUUGCAUUCAAAAGUGAUAUUUAGUUGUCUUCGAGCCUUCCUCUUUAUCCCUAAACGACAAUCCUUCGCUCGAUUGAUGCUCGCAUGCCGUUGCUAAUUUAUCUCACAACAAAGCCAAUUUUUUUAGUCAACUAGGAAGAUUUGGCUCCAGAUAAGUCCCCUCUUUUUUAUAUCCCAUUUCUUAUUGUCAGCUUAAUUCUGAAUUCAUUACAUGGGUCUAUUCAAAUCUGACACCGACGUCGUUUUCAGAACAAUCGCCUCCAUUAUAUUUCAUUAUAUCAGUAGUGCAAUUAGAGCUCCAUGAACCUUAUAUUUAAUUUCAUUAGAUUAGUUGAAGUGCAGUUAGUAGAGCUCCAUGGAUCUUCACCUUGUGGGGGUUCUAUAAUAGUUGAAUCUAAGGUGUUAGAAUAUUUCACUUGUCUUCCUCUCUGUGUUCAACUUUCAAUGGCUUUUAGCGCACCAAAUCCAAUAUUGAUAGAAAUUCUUGUUUGGGUUCAUUGUUCGGUCGGCUAUUGGUCAUGAUCACUAAUUUGGUUUAAAUUAUUUUUUUUAAUAAGAAUCUAUCAUAGAAUACGAAUUUGUACAUCCAUCAAUGAAUUUGAAAUCCAGUUCUGGGUCUUGGACAGAUGAGGGACUUCUAUUUUUUAUUUAUUAAUUAUAGGUCAAUCAAAUUAUAUUUAGUUUCGAAAAAAGAUUAUAAUUGGAUUCGUUAAAAAGAGUUACGUUGAUAGAUGUUCCAAAAGUGGAUAUGUAACCUUCGUCGGCCAAACAUAAUUUCAUCGUCCAACAGUAAACAGGCUCUAAUUUGAUUUGAGCUGCUAGACAGAGGAGGCUAGUGGCAAAAAUUAUUAGUAAUCGUGUUGUGGAACAGUCAAUGAUCGCGACUCGUAUAGUCAAAUUCUCAAGCUGUAAGGAAAGCACACGUGUAGAGCCACUAUAUAUAACAAAUAAUCCGAUUUUCUUCUCCAGUCUCGGUUUCCAUUAAUUCUUCCUUUUAUCUGUCUGUCUCACUCUCAGAGUGAGCUCCUUGGAAUCCACUUUGUUCCAGCAGCAUCUCAUCACCAUCUUCUCAACGUUGCUCAGUGGACUCUGACUUGAACAAGUUCCCUGCACGUCUUUGCUUGCUUGCUUGCUUGGUAUCCAUUCUUAAACCACCCUCUCUACCCAUGCCGGUUUGCAGCUCUUCCCUUUCUUAGGUCGAAUCCUGGAUGAUCUUUUUUUCUAUUUAAUACAAUAUUUAGACCCUGCUAGAUACGAAUUUGAGCCUUCUGCUUUUGUUUUGAUUCAUGUUCGAAACAGAGUGAUAUGGAGGAUCAGAAACCACGGGACUUGAAGCGGAGAGCAUCGGACGGUGGACUCAUGGUCAAACAAGGUUUUGUCAACUCCGCUUCCCAACCAGCAGCAGCAGCAGCUUACUCAGUGAGAGACGACAAAUUCAGGGGCGAAUUUCAGGGUUUCGCCAACGAAAUAGAGGGCUUCUUCGGAGAUAUUUACUCCGAUGAUCUCUUCACCUUCAAAACUCCGGUCAGUCAAAUUUCUAUACAUAUGUUCAUUUCAUAAUUAGUAGUGAACACUUCCAUCUGUUUUCCAACCACAUCACCAAGUCUAGGGCUCCUAAAAGGAUGGAUUGAUUGUCCCUCUUUACUAAUCGAAUUGCAUGACAAAGUAAAACUAAAUUUGAUUUUUAUCUUCACGUUGGUAAGAUUUAUCAAGCAAAAGUAAGGCCUAUAAAUUGUGGUGUGCUGUGUACAUAAGCCAUCUUCUUAAUAGUGGGUAUAUAGUAUGCAUAAGACGGUACCACUUGACAACAUUCACCCAGUAACGUUUUUGCCAAAAAUGGCAGUAGUGUUGGGUUGGCGAUUGGUGAUGUUUGGUUUGCUUUAAGUAGAUACUGCUGGCUUAAUGCCUAAGUUUGUGACACAAGAUUCCAAGAUGCUGAGGAGGACUCGCAAUAACUUUAUUUCUAACGCAAAUUACCAGCAAAGUGCGCCCGUUUUCUACUCAACUUUACACGCAUAAGAAAAACUUCACCUGCUUGCUUUUUUUCUUUUGCCUUUCCUUAAAGACAUUGGAUCAUGGUUGUUAGAAAAUUCUGACUUUAAGUUGAAGGGGUUGAUGAUUUAACCAUAUGAUGGAGACAUGCUACACCAGCAUCAGUAGAUUAGUAUGAAUCACAUCUCUCGUGUUUUGCUGGCCGUCUUGUCAUGUAAUGCACACAACAAAACAUCUUUCUUGUGUCUUUUUGUCCUGUUCAAAGGUCUCUAUCCUUGGGGUUUCAAUUCACACUUGUAGUUAUGUAGUUGUAGCUAUGUUUAUCUGCGCGCGAAUGAAGACAAGUGGUCAGUUUGUAAGUAGUUUUCACUUGGACCCGUAAUAGUUACUGCUAAUUCAACACUAUUCAUAAACAGCUUUACUCAUUGAUGAUUUUGGAUUUUGGAGAUUCUUCUUGUAAGCUCGAAAGUUUUCACUUGAUCCUAAUUUGUUAAAUGAUUCAAAACAAUUGUAUUCAUUAAAAAGAAUUUUCAAAUUGUUAAUAUGCAGGACUCCAUUAAUGGAUUUGCAGCUUGUGGUGGGCUAGAUUCACUUCUAUGGUCACACAAUGUCAACUCCAAGGAAUACAACAAUUCGGUGCCCAUUAACUCUCAGUCAUCAAUUUAUGGUACCACCUUCUGUUCUUACUUUGCAGUUUCCAUUAUGUUAUUUGUUUUAAAAAAAGCGGUUAUUGAUCAGAUGGAAGCCCAAUAUCAGCUAAGCCAAAAGUGAGAGAUAUCAUUCAGCCAAAAGUUACCAUGAGUGAAUCCUCAUCUGAACCAUCCUAUGAGGAGGAAGACGCUGAGAUUGAAGCUGGACCAUGCGAGCAGAGCACCAACCCAGGAGCUGAUUUGAAACGAAUUAGAAGGUAAUGCUAUCAAUACUCUUAUGAUGUAAUUCCUCAAAGUUACCAUGGAACUUGAAUCUGUUUGCUUGUUUCUUUCAAGGAUGGUCUCAAAUCGGGAGUCUGCUAGAAGAUCUCGAAGAAGGAAGCAAGCUCAUUUGACUGAUCUAGAAAUUCAGGUACUUGCAUAGUAUGGUUUUAAUUUUGUCUCCAACAGCUCAGCCAGUGAGUUGAUAACAAAUUUCUGAAGCUCUAUUGUACAGCUGGAAAAUGAAGUUCGUUUAAGGGAGGUAGUAGUAGUAGUAGUAAGAAACUAGUCAGUGGAACUGAUCACUUUGAAGCAAAUGGAUGAGUUGUUGGGCUAGAAGUUUGGUUCGGUAUUGACCAAUACUGAACCGAAUAUUUUAUAUAUUCGUUAAACCAAAAGCCAAUAAAAUAAAUUUGUCAACUGUGAUGAUUCUUAAAUUUGGACACUUUUCGGUAAUUUGCUAUUAUUUUUCGGUUUGGUUCUCGGUUUUACCGACGAACCGAGAUUCUCCACAAAAAUUAAAUAAGUUUAAAUCUUAUUUAUUUUUUGGGAUUUUUGGGGUUUUGGUUCUCACUUUUACCGAAGAACCGAAGGUUUCGUUCUAGAAAAACCUGAAAUUAAGAUAUUUGUUUUCCAGGAAUUUUGGUUUUGGUUUGGUUUUGAUUCGGUUUUCUGGUGAUCAAAUUACCAUGCGCAAUCUGUUUGGUUUUUCGGUUGGGUUUUUACCGAAUUUAUACUUGUUUGACUUUGGUUCCCGGAUUAGCAUGUGUUUCGUUAUUCAGUAUUCGGUUUGGUGUUACCGAACCGAACGGACUUCCACCCUUUAUUGAAGUGUAUGUUUUUUGGUGGUUGUUUCCCUUUGAUUAGGUUGAACAACUGACAGGAGAAAGUGCAUCACUGUACAAGCAGCUGUCAGAUGCUACACAGCAAUACCGGAACGCUGAUACUAAUCAUAGAGUGCUGAAAUCAGAUGUUGAAGCCUUGAGGGCCAAGGUACCACCACUU
RNAcentral lists this long non-coding RNA (36842 nucleotides) under Linum usitatissimum (flax). RNAcentral's name for it is "long non-coding RNA (LUSI_LNC006318)". Lineage: Eukaryota; Viridiplantae; Streptophyta; Magnoliopsida; Malpighiales; Linaceae. The record is from RNAcentral.